GGCUUCGUGGUUUAGUGGUAUAAUUCUCGCUUAGGGUGACACCCUACGCUCAAUCUGCGAGAGGUCCCGGGUUCGAUCCCCGGCGAAGCCC
Molecule: transfer RNA, 91 nt
Filed under: Epichloe festucae Fl1
Lineage: Eukaryota; Fungi; Ascomycota; Sordariomycetes; Hypocreales; Clavicipitaceae
Description: tRNA-Pro
Rfam family: tRNA
About the family: Transfer RNA (tRNA) molecules are approximately 80 nucleotides in length. Their secondary structure includes four short double-helical elements and three loops (D, anti-codon, and T loops).
Source: RNAcentral